GCCUCCGCGGUGCAAUCGGCUAGCGCGUUCGGCUGUUAUCCGAAUUUUAAGCUCAUGAAAAAGGUUGGUGGUUCGAUCCCACCCGGAGGCG
Molecule: non-coding RNA, 91 nt
Organism: Trichonephila inaurata madagascariensis
Lineage: Eukaryota; Metazoa; Arthropoda; Arachnida; Araneae; Nephilidae
Source: the annotation of a GenBank genome assembly